Molecule: ribosomal RNA, 302 nt
Filed under: uncultured bacterium
Lineage: Bacteria
Description: partial 16S ribosomal RNA
Rfam family: Bacterial small subunit ribosomal RNA
Source: RNAcentral
GCAGUAGCCGCGGUAAUACGAAGGGGGCUAGCGUUGUUCGGAAUUACUGGGCGUAAAGCGCACGUAGGCGGAUAUUUAAGUCAGGGGUGAAAUCCCGCAGCUCAACUCUGGAACUGCCUUUGAUACUGGGUAUCUUGAGUAUGGAAGAGGUGAGUGGAAUUCCGAGUGUAGAGGUGAAAUUCGUAGAUAUUCGGAGGAACACCAGUGGCGAAGGCGGCUCACUGGUCCAUUACUGACGCUGAGGUGCGAAAGCGUGGGGAGCAAACAGGAUUAGAUACCCCCGUAGUCCUGUCUCUUAUACA